Molecule: non-coding RNA, 211 nt
Organism: Pelobates cultripes (western spadefoot toad)
Lineage: Eukaryota; Metazoa; Chordata; Amphibia; Anura; Pelobatidae
Source: the annotation of a GenBank genome assembly
UUUUUACUAACUUUUGAACCCCUGGUCUGAUUCAUGCCAUUUUUUAAUAUGUUGUUCCCCUGAAUGGAUUGAUUGUGAAUAUGUAAUGUUAUGUGAAUGUGAUGUAUGGUUUUAGAGUUAUGAAAGUUGGGUAGAAAGUAUGUUUUAACUGUAUGUGUAAUUGAAUUUCCUCUCAGGAUAAGGGGAGGGAAUAUGUGGGAUGUAACUGUGA